GAACAUUUUUCCUCAAAUGAAUUCUAUUUUUUUUUCCUUGCAGCUCUGAAGCUUUUCUGGAUAAGAGUCAAGGAUAUUCUCAUGACUAAAUGCUCCCUAGGACUUCCAGACCCAAAUUACACUCAGCUCAGCCCUAGAGACCAUGGGCUACCCUCUGAAUGCCUCUCUUCAGCGGCAAGGAUCUGGUUCUUGGAAAACGGGAGUCACACUGAUUCACACCUUCAAGCAAUUCCCACUGCCUUGUGGAGCGAAUGUUAACAUUCUUCCAAUUCCAGUCAAUGCUGACCUCACUCCAGAAGUCUUUCCUGAGAGUGAUUGAAACCUGUCCUUCCUCAGUAGCUGGAAGAACUAGCUGAGAUGCCACAUUAUGACAAUGACCUGCAACUCUGCUUAUGUGGAAGGCUGGCAUAAAGAAAAUAGUGAGCAGUUUUUAAAUACACAGUACAGCACCAAGUGAGUGACAAUCUCCUAAUACUAACAAGGAUAAUAUAAAAGAGGAGUCAAGCUAACCAGGUCGGAAUCCUAACUCUGACUUUUUCCUUGUGGUAUGACUCCAGACAAAUGACUGAACCUUCCUGAGCUUCAAUUUCUUAGCUAUAAAAUAACACUACUAUUUCCUACCUUUAAAAAUGGUGGCUAGGAUUAAAAGAAAUACCUCUGUGCCUAACAUGUAGUCAAAUGAAG
RNAcentral lists this long non-coding RNA (684 nucleotides) under Macaca mulatta (Rhesus monkey). Its description in RNAcentral is "lncRNA (ENSMMUG00000037890.2)". Lineage: Eukaryota; Metazoa; Chordata; Mammalia; Primates; Cercopithecidae. The record is from RNAcentral.